This 253-nucleotide ribosomal RNA is filed under the name uncultured bacterium. Its description in RNAcentral is "partial 16S ribosomal RNA". It matches the Rfam family "Bacterial small subunit ribosomal RNA", at positions 524 to 776 of the family's 1533-position model. The record is from RNAcentral.
UACGUAGGGUCCGAGCGUUGUCCGGAAUUAUUGGGCGUAAAGGGCUCGUAGGCGGUUUGUCGCGUCGGGAGUGAAAAUCCAGGGCUUAACUCUGGACUGGCUUCCGAUACGGGCAGACUAGAGGUAUGCAGGGGAGAACGGAAUUCCUGGUGUAGCGGUGAAAUGCGCAGAUAUCAGGAGGAACACCGGUGGCGAAGGCGGUUCUCUGGGCAUUACCUGACGCUGAGGAGCGAAAGUGUGGGGAGCGAACAGG